RNAcentral lists this long non-coding RNA (1130 nucleotides) under Monodelphis domestica (gray short-tailed opossum). RNAcentral's name for it is "lncRNA (ENSMODG00000033022.2)". The record is from RNAcentral. Lineage: Eukaryota; Metazoa; Chordata; Mammalia; Didelphimorphia; Didelphidae.
CCCAAAUAGGGUCAAGAAAAGUCAGAUGUGACUGAACAAUGACUAAACAACCAAAAUCCACAUUGUCACCUACACAAAUGAAUAUUUUUAAACCUCACCUUCUCUCUUAUAAUUAUACUACAUAAGUUCCCAGGCAGAAGAGUAAUAAGGUCUAGAACGUUGGGGUUAAAUGAUUUGUUCAGGGUUCUACAGCUCAGAGAAGUCUGAGGCCAGAUUGGAACCAGUACCUCCUGCCUCCACAUCUGGCUCUCUAUCCACUGAACCACCUAAAGCUGCCCUGCUGGAUGGAUAUGCCAGGCAGAGAAAGUCUCAGGCACUGAGGGAGGUUCCUGCAUGAAAUUGCAGUUGAUCCAUGGCAUGGUGUCUAUGUGAAAAUCAGAAGUGCUUCUGGCAGCUGAAAAUAGGUGGCCUGGCCUGGACCCCUCUCCAAAAUGAGGUUACAGUAUCACAGAGGAGUGAUUUCCCCCAAAAUCACACAAAUGGCCGAAUUCAUUUGAUGCAAGUCUUAAUUCAAGACCAUUGCCUUCUCCUUCCAUCAUUUCCUGCAGCCUUGAUAACCCGACACUCCCACAUGCCCUGUGGUACUACUGUGGCUACUGUGGUAGAGACAGAAAGAGAGAGAGAGAGAGAGAGGACUUGUGGGCCAAGAUGCAAGAACCAAGGCUGGGGACAUAUCUGUCAAUCAAGAAGAAGGUUCCAAAUGGAAUGUUCCCAGGAGUUGGCAGUUGAGCUGACCAGGGGGAAGGGACUUGAACACUCUAUCUGGAGGUUAAACCUGGAUGAAAGACCCUUGUGGGGCUGACUUGGUUUGGGGGAGCUCUCUGAUCAAGGGGAAACUUCUGUUCUUUCUGAGAUUUUGACUGAUCAAGAGUUGGAGGAAAGCCAGGCUGAAGAAGAGACUUUGAACUUUGUUUCUUUCUGGGGUUAAUUUGAGAGACCUUGCUGACUGUGAAGAUGAAGAAGAAAGAAGGUUUUAAAAAGCUGUUAUCCUCCGUCUCUCUGUCACACUUGUGACUUCCCACACCCUCAUAAUCUUCAUUUUAGAUUAGGGACAUCCUCAUCCCUCUCACCUCAGUUUCCCAUCCUGUUAUCCCAAUAAACCCCUUGACUUGAAAAAGAAAGGAAAAGAA